AACAAAGUGAAUUGAAAUAUCUUAAUAACUUUAGGAAAAAAAAUCAAACGAGAUUUUAUUAUUAGUGCAAACUAAUAUAAAAAAGCUUACAAGUAAAAUGGAAAAUAUCUGUUUGAAUAUAGGGGAACCUUCCUCUAAAGCUAAAUAUAAUAUAUAAGCGAUAGCGUAUAGUACCGUGAGGUAUAGAUAUAAAUAGUAGUUUUAUAAGCUGCUCAAAAAAAUAUUUAAAUAAAUAAUACGAGCGAACCUUUUGCAUAAUGGGUCAGCAAGUUAAAUUUAGAUGCAAGCAAAUAAAAAUUAUUUGCCUAGAUAAACCAAUUAUGAAAAAAUGAUAAGUAUCUAAAUUUAGACCCGAAGGCUAGUGAUCUUACCAUGAUCAGGCUUAAGGCCGAACGGGUUAUCGUUGUAAAGAUAUCCGAUGAAUUGUGGUAAGUUGGUGAAAGACAAAACUGACUAGUAUAGCUGGUUUUCCGCGAAACCUAUGUGAGUAGGUAAUUUAAUUAACAUCUUAGCAGGUACAGAACUAGGAUCUCGGACAAUAUGUAAAUUUUGUGCACAUCGGGGGAUCGUGAUGAUUUUAUCGGAGAGUAUUUGCACUCGAAAGGGCAAAGAUGAUUAUUGAAUAAUCGGACAUAGUACGAUAAGGUUGUAUGUCUAAAGGGAAACAGCCCUGAACAAGAGUUAUAAGGUUCCAAAAUUAUUAUUAAGUGAAAUUAAGGAUGUACUUAUCAAAUACAAUCAGGAAAUAGGCUUAGAAGCGGCCAUUUUUUGAAGACCUCGUAACAGAGCACUGGUUAAUAAAAUUUUUUUAGAUAGAUAUGUAUACCGAAAAUUUAACGGAUCUAAAUAAUAUACCGAAACCUUGUUCGUAUAUAUUAAUAUAGAAUAAUAUUUACUAGUUUAAAUAUAUAUAUAUAUAUAUGAGGUAGCGGAACAUUGGAUAAAUAUUAGAUUUUUUCUUUUUUUAAGUAAAAAAAAUUAUAUAAUAAUCCAAGAGAGAAUGCUGGCAUGAGUAACGAAAAAGGAUAAUAUCCUCGCCUUAAGCUUAUGGUAUUUUAAUUAAAUUUCGGUGUCUAAGAAAACUUCUUUUUUUAUCCGAAUGGAUUUUUUCGAUGAUAUUAUACCAGUAUGGCGAUUAAAGAAAAAAACCUUUAUAAAGUGUUAAAGGUUCUGGAAAAACUAUAAUCGGGAGCAGCCGGGUUAUUGGGAGAAAGAGGUGAGGAAGAACUAGUCCAAGUUUAAACCAGUGAUGGUUUAUAUUUUUUAGUACCUAAACACUAACAGAAGUUAGUACCUAAAGACUAGUUAUAACCCGUGUAUGUUUUUAACCGUACCUAAAUACUAACACAAGUAAGCAAGUAGAGUAUACAAAGGCGUUUGAGCGAACAAUCCUUAAGGAACUCGGCAAAUUGACUCCGUAACUUCGGGAUAAGGAGGGCCAUUAUUAUAGAAAAAUUUUUUUCUGUCGAAUAAGAGGAAACAUUGUAGUAGGGCGGGGGCUCCGAAAUUUAGGCGUAGGAGUACUCUGAGGAAACAUUGUAGUACGGCGGGUCUCCUUAUACUAUGGUAUAAGGAGAGCCGUUUAGAAAAAAUUUUUUUCUGUUGAAUAAGAGGAAACAUAAAAUAAUGUUGUACGACUGUUUAAUUAAAACAAAUCACUCUGCAAAGAUUAAAAAUCAAAGUAUUGAGUGUGAUGUCUGCCCAAUGUCGGUUGUAUAACUGAGAUGCUUAAUUUAAAAGGUUAAGUUUUGAAGGACACCCCGAUCAAUGGCGGUCUUAUCUAUAAGGAUCCUAAGGUAGCGGAAUACCUUGGCCGUUAAAUGCGGUCUUGCAUGAAUGACUUAACGAUACAACAGCUGUCUCGAGGAUUGGCUCAGUGAAAUUGGAAUAGCAGUGCAGAUACUGCUUAACUCUAGGUAGACGAGAAGACCCUAUGCAGCUUUACUGUUACCUUUUAUGAAUAUAGUAAGUCAAUUGUGAGUGUAUAAGGUAAUUGUUAUAUGAAAUUGAAACACCUUUAUUUAAACUAUUAUAUUCUUUAUGACUGGAAGACAGUUUAUGCGGGGCACAGAUCCCAUAAAAAGUACCUGGGUAUAUCCAAAGUUAAUAAUGUAAGUUUGUAAAUUUUAAUUUACAGUAAUAAUAUAUUUAUAUUUAUAAAUUAUUAUUAUUUAGUUUGUUAUUAAUUAUAUUUUAUAUUUAUUCAGUUAUUAUAGUAUUAAAUUCGAAUUUUAUAAAAUUUAAGUAAGAUUUUAACUAUAUGGUAAAUAGAUGUAUAUUAAAUACUAAUAAAUUAAGUUGUAUUAGUAUUUUAUUUAUAUUAAUAUUGUAUAUUUAAAUCCUUAUUAAUAUGAUAAUUAUUUAUACUUUAAAAGUUUAAUGGCUAAAUCUUGCUUUACUGUUUGACUUACAAGUCUAUCAGUCGCGUAAGCGGGGCAUAUGAUCACAAGAUGCAAAAAGGAAAGGUCUUGGAUUAAAGAAAAAGUUACGCUAGGGAUUUUUGUUAGUCCCCCUGUAUUUUAAAAUACUGGUAAUAAUUUGGGUAAACAGGCUAAUUUGCGCAAGAGAGUACAAAUUGAGUGCGCGGUUUGGCACCUCGAUGUCGGCUUAGCUCAUCCACAUGAAUGCAGAAAUCAUGAAGGGUACGACUGUUCGUCGGUUAAAGAGCUACACGAGCUGGGUUUAUUAUUAAGCUCCUUUCUUAUUAGAUAAGAAAGAUAACCAGGUGAAAUGCAAAUACAUAUUAAAUUUAGAUAUUAAUACAAUUUGCAGCGAAGCUUAAAUAUAAGAACGUUCAACGACUUAAGGUUUAAUCCUUACAAGAGUUCCUGGGUUACGAUUACAAUAUAAUAAAAAUAUUAAAAAUAAAUUUUUAUUUUUAAUAUUAGUAUAAUAAUUACUUUAUAAGUAGUGAAAGUUAUAAUUUCGCUUGCUACAAAUUUU
Molecule: ribosomal RNA, 2943 nt
Filed under: Blastomyces parvus
Lineage: Eukaryota; Fungi; Ascomycota; Eurotiomycetes; Onygenales; Ajellomycetaceae
Description: large subunit ribosomal RNA
Rfam family: Bacterial large subunit ribosomal RNA
Source: RNAcentral